RNAcentral lists this ribosomal RNA (253 nucleotides) under uncultured bacterium. RNAcentral describes it as "partial 16S ribosomal RNA". It matches the Rfam family "Bacterial small subunit ribosomal RNA", at positions 524 to 776 of the family's 1533-position model. The record is from RNAcentral.
UACGUAGGGGGCAAGCGUUGUCCGGAAUCAUUGGGCGUAAAGAGCGCGUAGGCGGUCCGGUAAGUCCGCUCUGAAAGCCCGGGGCUCAACCCCGGGAGGCGGGCGGAUACUGUCGGGCUAGAGUCCGGAAGAGGCGAGUGGAAUUCCUGGUGUAGCGGUGAAAUGCGCAGAUAUCAGGAGGAACACCGAUGGCGAAGGCAGCUCGCUGGGACGGUACUGACGCUGAGGUGCGAAAGCGUGGGGAGCAAACAGG